UCCUCCAUACUCCUGACCCCGUUGAGG
RNAcentral lists this non-coding RNA (27 nucleotides) under Mus musculus (house mouse). The record is from RNAcentral. Lineage: Eukaryota; Metazoa; Chordata; Mammalia; Rodentia; Muridae.